Long non-coding RNA from Mus caroli (Ryukyu mouse), 591 nucleotides. RefSeq lists it as uncharacterized. Lineage: Eukaryota; Metazoa; Chordata; Mammalia; Rodentia; Muridae. The record is from RefSeq and is a predicted model, not a curated record.
CGGAUAUUUGAGAAUAAACUCACUGACUUCAUGAACCUUGCACAUCAGAGUAGAUACCCAAGCAAUGCCAUAGAGAUAGAGUGACAAACUAAGAAAGAAGGUAUCAUGUCUACAUACCUGAGAGAGUUGUCAUGAAGAAUAAAUGAAUUAACAAAGGAAAUUCUUAUACAUCAAAGCCCCAUAACUGUUUGGUUCUCUGCCUGGUCUCCAGGCUUCACCACCCAUUCAGGGGAAGACCAAUGCAGUUCGAUAUUCAGAGAGGCCUGCCUACAAGUAAUAUUGUCCUGAAGGAAGACAGUGGUCAGAAAAUCAGCAUGUGCCCAGCCCCUUGCUUCAGACCACUCCUACUGCCGGUCAAGCUGUUCUAUCUUGCUUGAGCAGGUGACCUCUGAGUGGCCUCAGAUGGGAGCUGACAGGACAGAAACACCCAAGGGAGAUGCACAGCGUCUGGGAGCUGAGCCCACUUCAGCUAACUUCAGCAAGUCCCAAACUGGAUUCUCCCAGUUGGUUCUCACUUUCUUGAUUCAUCCCACUCAGGACGGUGGUUUAUGAAAGCACUGAAUGCUGCUGACCAAUGGAUUCACAUAGCAG